Molecule: ribosomal RNA, 497 nt
Filed under: uncultured bacterium
Lineage: Bacteria
Description: bacterial SSU rRNA
Rfam family: Bacterial small subunit ribosomal RNA
Source: RNAcentral
AGUGAACGCUGGCGGCAGGCCUAACACAUGCAAGUCGAGCGGCAGCGCGUCCGACCACCCUCGGGUGGUCGGAUGGCGGCGAGCGGCGGACGGGUGAGGAAUGCAUCGGAAUCUGCCUCGUUGUGGGGGAUAACGUAGGGAAACUUACGCUAAUACCGCAUACGACCUACGGGUGAAAGUGGGGGACCUUCGGGCCUCACGCGAUGAGAUGAGCCGAUGCCGGAUUAGCUAGUUGGCGGGUAAAGGCCCACCAAGGCGACGAUCCGUAGCUGGUCUGAGAGGAUGAUCAGCCACACUGGAACUGAGACACGGUCCAGACUCCUACGGGAGGCAGCAGUGGGGAAUAUUGGACAAUGGGGGCAACCCUGAUCCAGCCAUGCCGCGUGUGUGAAGAAGGCCUUCGGGUUGUAAAGCACUUUUGUUGGGGAAGAAACCGGCCGGGUUAAUACCCUGGUUGAAUGACGGUACCCAAAGAAUAAGCACCGGCUAACUUCGUG